UACGAACCGUCCAAACGUUAUUCGGAUUUAUUGGGCUUAAAGGGUAUGUAGGCGGCGCUGUCAGUCGGGUGUGAAAUCCCUCGGCUCAACCGAGGAACUGCGCCCGAUACUGCAGCGCUUGAGGGAGACAGAGGUAAGCGGAACUGAUGGUGGAGCGGUGAAAUGCGUUGAUAUCAUCAGGAACACCAGUGGCGAAAGCGGCUUACUGGGUCUCUUCUGACGCUGAGAUACGAAAGCUAGGGGAGCGAACGGGAUUAGAUACCCCGGUAGUCCUAGCUGUAAACGAUGAGCACUUGAUCGUGGGGCCUCCCAUAGCCUCUCGGUCGCAGCGAAAGCGGUAAGUGCUCCGCCUGGGGAGUAUGGUCGCAAGGCUG
RNAcentral lists this ribosomal RNA (374 nucleotides) under uncultured prokaryote. Its description in RNAcentral is "bacterial SSU rRNA". It matches the Rfam family "Bacterial small subunit ribosomal RNA", at positions 524 to 896 of the family's 1533-position model. The record is from RNAcentral.